GUCUGUCUGGUGGAAUUGGUUAGACACGGAAGACUUAAAAUCUUCUCCUUUGGGGUGCAGGUUCAAAUCCUGUGAUAGAUA
Molecule: transfer RNA, 81 nt
Filed under: Proteromonas lacertae
Lineage: Eukaryota; Bigyra; Opalinata; Proteromonadidae
Description: tRNA-Leu
Rfam family: tRNA
About the family: Transfer RNA (tRNA) molecules are approximately 80 nucleotides in length. Their secondary structure includes four short double-helical elements and three loops (D, anti-codon, and T loops).
Source: RNAcentral